This 309-nucleotide small RNA is filed under the name Vicugna pacos (alpaca). Its description in RNAcentral is "7SK RNA (ENSVPAG00000016927.1)". The stretch from base 164 to 309 matches the Rfam family "7SK RNA", at positions 186 to 331 of the family's 331-position model. The record is from RNAcentral. Lineage: Eukaryota; Metazoa; Chordata; Mammalia; Artiodactyla; Camelidae.
AGUUUGUUUACAGUCUCCUGUGGCUACAGACAACAGAAAGUUGAUUCCUGUUAUUCUGUAGCCAUUAGUAUAAAAUAACCCACUUAACUUUUGCUUAUGACUGCUGCCUCAAAACAUGGCUACUGAUUAAUAAAUACCAGUUCUUUGAAAAUGUGAAUACUCAAAGGGUAUACGAGUAGCUGCGUUGCCCUGCUAGAACCUCCAAACAAGCUCUCAAGGUCUAUUUGUAGGAGUACUUAGGGUAGUCAAGUUUCCAAGACUCCAGACACAUCCAAAGGAGGUGCUGCAUGUGGCAGUUUUCCUUUCUUU